Molecule: ribosomal RNA, 425 nt
Filed under: Anodontites trapesialis
Lineage: Eukaryota; Metazoa; Mollusca; Bivalvia; Unionida; Mycetopodidae
Description: partial 16S ribosomal RNA
Source: RNAcentral
AAACCAUUCUUCCCAAAACUACUAAUAUAUUAUGAAAAAAACUUUUAUAAAUCUCCAGUAAUAUAAAUAAACAAAUCACCCUCCACAAACCGCAAGGAUAAACUAAUAAAUUAACUAGAAGAACCUAUAAACCAGGCUCCCUCUUGUAUCAUGGAGAAGCAACAAAACUUGGAAAACCCCAUAUCCCGAAAGAUCAUGAGCUACUAUGCUUCAACAAGAGAUGUAUCAAAAUCUCUAUAGAAAUGCAUAAUAGAAGCGAAAAACCUUCCAUAUGAUCUGAUAGCUGGUUUUUCUUUAAAAGCAUCAAAGUGCCUCACCAUAUACUAAACAAAACUACUUAAUAUGGAUGAUAUAUCACCAAGGACAAGCCUGGUGAUUAAUAGAAACAAAAUAAACCUUAUAGCAUAAAGUAGGCCCUAAAGCAG